GUGCCAGCAGCCGCGGUAAUUCCAGCUCCAAUAGCGUAUAUUAAAGUUGUUGUGGUUAAAAAGCUCGUAGUUGAACCUUGGGCCUGGCUGGCCGGUCCGCCUCACCGCGUGCACUGGUCCGGCCGGGCCUUUCCCUCUGUGGAACCCCAUACCCUUCACUGGGCGUGGCGGGGAAACAGGACAUUUACUUUGAAAAAAUUAGAGUGCUCCAGGCAGGCCCAUGCUCGAAUACAUUAGCAUGGAAUAAUAAAAUAGGACGCGCGGUUCUAUUUUGUUGGUUUAUAGGACCGCCGUAAUGAUUAAUAGGGACAGUCGGGGGCAUCAGUAUUCAACUGUCAGAGGUGAAAUUCUUGGAUCAGUUGAAGACUAACUACUGCGAAAGCAUUUGCCAAGGAUGUUUUCAUUAAUCAGGAACGAAAGUUAGGGGAUCGAAGACGAUCAGAUACCGUCGUAGUCUUAACCAUAAACUAUGCCGACUAGGGAUCGGACGGUGUUAUUCAUGACCCGUUCGGCACCUUACGAGAAAUCAAAGUGCUUGGGCUCCAGGGGGAGUAUGGUCGCAAGGCUGAAACUUAAAGAAAUUGACGGAAGGGCACCACCAGGGGUGGAGCCUGCGGCUUAAUUUGACUCAACACGGGGAAACUCACCAGGUCCAGACACAAUAAGGAUUGACAGAUUGAGAGCUCUUUCUUGAUUUUGUGGGUGGUGGUGCAUGACCGUUCUUAGUCGUGAGUGAUUUGUCUGGUAAUUCCGAUAACGAACGAGACUCAAAUAUAUUAAAUAGAUGCUUUCAGGACUAUAACGUUGAAGCU
This 812-nucleotide ribosomal RNA is filed under the name uncultured fungus. RNAcentral describes it as "SSU rRNA". It matches the Rfam family "Eukaryotic small subunit ribosomal RNA", at positions 564 to 1386 of the family's 1831-position model. Lineage: Eukaryota; Fungi. The record is from RNAcentral.